RNAcentral lists this ribosomal RNA (1415 nucleotides) under Demequinaceae bacterium. RNAcentral's name for it is "bacterial SSU rRNA". It matches the Rfam family "Bacterial small subunit ribosomal RNA". The record is from RNAcentral. Lineage: Bacteria; Bacillati; Actinomycetota; Actinomycetes; Micrococcales; Demequinaceae.
CGUGCUUACACAUGCAAGUCGAACGGUGAACUUCAAGCUUGCUUGGGGGGAUCAGUGGCGAACGGGUGAGUAACACGUGAGUAACCUGCCCCAGACUCUGGGAUAAGCCUUGGAAACGAGGUCUAAUACCGGAUACGCAACUCCAUCGCAUGGUGAGGGUUGGGAAAGUUUUUCGGUCUGGGAUGGACUCGCGGCCUAUCAGCUUGUUGGUGAGGUAAUGGCUCACCAAGGCGACGACGGGUAGCCGGCCUGAGAGGGCGACCGGCCACACUGGAACUGAGACACGGUCCAGACUCCUACGGGAGGCAGCAGUGGGGAAUAUUGCACAAUGGGCGCAAGCCUGAUGCAGCGACGCCGCGUGGGGGAUGAAGGCCUUCGGGUUGUAAACCCCUUUCAGCAGGGAAGAAGCGAAAGUGACGUUACCUGCAGAAGAAGCGCCGGCUAACUACGUGCCAGCAGCCGCGGUAAUACGUAGGGCGCAAGCGUUGUCCGGAAUUAUUGGGCGUAAAGAGCUCGUAGGCGGUUCGUCGCGUCUGCUGUGAAAGCCCGAGGCUCAACCUCGGGUCUGCAGUGGGUACGGGCGGACUAGAGUGUGGUAGGGGAGACUGGAAUUCCUGGUGUAGCGGUGGAAUGCGCAGAUAUCAGGAGGAACACCAAUGGCGAAGGCAGGUCUCUGGGCCACAACUGACGCUGAGGAGCGAAAGCGUGGGGAGCGAACAGGAUUAGAUACCCUGGUAGUCCACGCCGUAAACGGUGGGCACUAGAUGUGGGGCUCUUUCCAUGAGUUCCGCGUCGCAGCUAACGCAUUAAGUGCCCCGCCUGGGGAGUACGGCCGCAAAGGCUAAAACUCAAAGGAAUUGACGGGGGCCCGCACAAGCGGCGGAGCAUGCGGAUUAAUUCGAUGCAACGCGAAGAACCUUACCAAGGCUUGACAUAUACCUUCUAUCCUCAGAGAUGGGGAGUGCUUUUAGCGGGGUAUACAGGUGGUGCAUGGUUGUCGUCAGCUCGUGUCGUGAGAUGUUGGGUUAAGUCCCGCAACGAGCGCAACCCUCGUCCUAUGUUGCCAGCACGUGAUGGUGGGGACUCAUAGGAGACUGCCGGGGUCAACUCGGAGGAAGGUGGGGAUGACGUCAAAUCAUCAUGCCCCUUAUGUCUUGGGCUUCACGCAUGCUACAAUGGCCGGUACAAAGGGCUGCGAUACCGUAAGGUGGAGCGAAUCCCAAAAAGCCGGUCUCAGUUCGGAUUGAGGUCUGCAACUCGACCUCAUGAAGUUGGAGUCGCUAGUAAUCGCAGAUCAGCAACGCUGCGGUGAAUACGUUCCCGGGCCUUGUACACACCGCCCGUCAAGUCACGAAAGUCGGUAACACCCGAAGCCGUCGGCCUAACCCCUUGUGGGAGGGAGACGUCUAAGGUGG